RNAcentral lists this transfer RNA (87 nucleotides) under Alphaproteobacteria bacterium. RNAcentral describes it as "tRNA-Leu". It matches the Rfam family "tRNA". Rfam says of the family: Transfer RNA (tRNA) molecules are approximately 80 nucleotides in length. The record is from RNAcentral. Lineage: Bacteria; Pseudomonadati; Pseudomonadota; Alphaproteobacteria.
GCCCAGGUGGCGGAAUCGGUAGACGCGCUAGCUUCAGGUGCUAGUGGGGGAAACCCCGUGGAAGUUCGAGUCUUCUCCUGGGCACCA